AUAUCAAUAAGCGGAGGAAAAGAAACCAACAGGGAUUGCCUCAGUAACGGCGAGUGAAGCGGCAAGAGCCCAAGCUGGAAAUCUUCACACUGCGUGUGACGAAUUGUAAUCUAAAGAGGGUUCGCUCAACGGGCGGUGGCGCAGAAGUGCCUUAGAACGGGCCGCCAGAGAGGGUGACAGCCCCGUAUGUGGUGCCACUGCCUAACGAGCGGGUCCCCGAAGAGUCGGGUUGUUUUGUAUUGCAGCCCUAAGUGGGAGAUAAACUUCUUCUAAGGCUAAAUACCUAUGGGAAACCGAUAGCGAACAAGUACUGUGAAGGAAAGAUGAAGAGAACUUUGAAAAGAGAGUCAAAAGACUUGAAAUCGUUGAGAAGGAAGCGGUAGAAAUUUAUUCUUCGGCGGAGAACGGUGACUUCUGCCUAUCCAUUACUGGCUGUCAGCACUUCAUAGGCUGCGGCUGGCACAUGGGGAAGCGGCUGGCUUGUUCUCCGUCGUGAGGCAAAAUGAGGUCGCACAUCCGCAGAGACUUCCCAAGGCUGACCUGAUUCGUUGGGUACCUUGGGUGUGCCGGUGGACGUGCGGCCUGAGGGUGCUUCGUGCGAUUUUGCCAAAAUGGUUUUUACCGA
RNAcentral lists this ribosomal RNA (625 nucleotides) under uncultured fungus. Its description in RNAcentral is "eukaryotic LSU rRNA". It matches the Rfam family "Eukaryotic large subunit ribosomal RNA", at positions 40 to 647 of the family's 3401-position model. The record is from RNAcentral. Lineage: Eukaryota; Fungi.